RNAcentral lists this ribosomal RNA (433 nucleotides) under uncultured bacterium. RNAcentral describes it as "partial 16S ribosomal RNA". It matches the Rfam family "Bacterial small subunit ribosomal RNA", at positions 29 to 507 of the family's 1533-position model. The record is from RNAcentral.
AACGAACGCUGGCGGCAUGCCUAACACAUGCAAGUCGAACGAGACCUUCGGGUCUAGUGGCGCACGGGUGCGUAACGCGUGGGAACCUGCCCUUAGGUUCGGAAUAACUCCCCGAAAGGGGUGCUAAUACCGGAUAAUGUAAUCGGGCCAAAGAUUUAUCGCCUUUGGAUGGGCCCGCGUUGGAUUAGCUAGUUGGUAGGGUAAAAGCCUACCAAGGCGACGAUCCAUAGCUGGUCUGAGAGGAUGAUCAGCCACACUGGGACUGAGACACGGCCCAGACUCCUACGGGAGGCAGCAGUGGGGAAUAUUGGACAAUGGGCGAAAGCCUGAUCCAGCAAUGCCGCGUGAGUGAUGAAGGCCUUAGGGUUGUAAAGCUCUUUUACCCGGGAUGAUAAUGACAGUACCGGGAGAAUAAGCUCCGGCUAACUCCGUG